AGCUUUUGACCAUCUUUCUGC
This 21-nucleotide microRNA is filed under the name Ciona intestinalis (vase tunicate). RNAcentral describes it as "Cin-Mir-4054_3p* (star (passenger))". The record is from RNAcentral. Lineage: Eukaryota; Metazoa; Chordata; Ascidiacea; Phlebobranchia; Cionidae.